GGGAUGGACCUGCGAUGCAUUAGCUAGUUGGUAAGGUAACGGGCUUACCAAGGCGAUGAUGCAUAGCCCGAGUUGAGAGACUGAUCGGCCACAUUGGGACUGAGACACGGCCCAAACUCCUACGGGAGGCAGCAGUAGGGAAUCUUCCACAAUGGACGCAAGUCUGAUGGAGCAACGCCGCGUGAGUGAAGAAGGGUUUCGGCUCGUAAAGCUCUGUUGUUGGUGAAGAAGGACAGGGGGUAGUAACUGACCUUUGUUUGACGGUAAUCAAUUAGAAAGUCACGGCUAACUACGUGCCAGCAGCCGCGGUAAU
RNAcentral lists this ribosomal RNA (313 nucleotides) under uncultured Lactobacillus sp. Its description in RNAcentral is "bacterial SSU rRNA". It matches the Rfam family "Bacterial small subunit ribosomal RNA", at positions 222 to 524 of the family's 1533-position model. Lineage: Bacteria; Bacillati; Bacillota; Bacilli; Lactobacillales; Lactobacillaceae. The record is from RNAcentral.